GAUGAACGCUGGCGGCGUGCCUAAUACAUGCAAGUCGAGCGAACGGACGAGAAGCUUGCUUCUCUGAUGUUAGCGGCGGACGGGUGAGUAACACGUGGAUAACCUACCUAUAAGACUGGGAUAACUUCGGGAAACCGGAGCUAAUACCGGAUAAUAUUUUGAACCGCAUGGUUCAAAAGUGAAAGACGGUCUUGCUGUCACUUAUAGAUGGAUCCGCGCUGCAUUAGCUAGUUGGUAAGGUAACGGCUUACCAAGGCAACGAUGCAUAGCCGACCUGAGAGGGUGAUCGGCCACACUGGAACUGAGACACGGUCCAGACUCCUACGGGAGGCAGCAGUAGGGAAUCUUCCGCAAUGGGCGAAAGCCUGACGGAGCAACGCCGCGUGAGUGAUGAAGGUCUUCGGAUCGUAAAACUCUGUUAUUAGGGAAGAACAUAUGUGUAAGUAACUGUGCACAUCUUGACGGUACCUAAUCAGAAAGCCACGGCUAACUACGUGCCAGCAGCCGCGGUAAUACGUAGGUGGCAAGCGUUAUCCGGAAUUAUUGGGCGUAAAGCGCGCGUAGGCGGUUUUUUAGUCUGAUGUGAAAGCCCACGGCUCAACCGUGGAGGGUCAUUGGAAACUGGAAAACUUGAGUGCAGAUUAGGAAAGUGGAAUUCCAUGUGUAGCGGUGAAAUGCGCAGAGAUAUGGAGGAACACCAGUGGCGAAGGCGACUUUCUGGUCUGUAACUGACGCUGAUGUGCGAAAGCGUGGGGAUCAAACAGGAUUAGAUACCCUGGUAGUCCACGCCGUAAACGAUGAGUGCUAAGUGUUAGGGGGUUUCCGCCCCUUAGUGCUGCAGCUAACGCAUUAAGCACUCCGCCUGGGGAGUACGACCGCAAGGUUGAAACUCAAAGGAAUUGACGGGGACCCGCACAAGCGGUGGAGCAUGUGGUUUAAUUCGAAGCAACGCGAAGAACCUUACCAAAUCUUGACAUCCUUUGACAACUCUAGAGAUAGAGCUUUCCCCUUCGGGGGACAAAGUGACAGGUGGUGCAUGGUUGUCGUCAGCUCGUGUCGUGAGAUGUUGGGUUAAGUCCCGCAACGAGCGCAACCCUUAAGCUUAGUUGCCAUCAUUAAGUUGGGCACUCUAAGUUGACUGCCGGUGACAAACCGGAGGAAGGUGGGGAUGACGUCAAAUCAUCAUGCCCCUUAUGAUUUGGGCUACACACGUGCUACAAUGGACAAUACAAAGGGCAGCGAAACCGCGAGGUCAAGCAAAUCCCAUAAAGUUGUUCUCAGUUCGGAUUGUAGUCUGCAACUCGACUACAUGAAGCUGGAAUCGCUAGUAAUCGUAGAUCAGCAUGCUACGGUGAAUACGUUCCCGGGUCU
Molecule: ribosomal RNA, 1371 nt
Filed under: uncultured bacterium
Lineage: Bacteria
Description: bacterial SSU rRNA
Rfam family: Bacterial small subunit ribosomal RNA
Source: RNAcentral